Molecule: long non-coding RNA, 1007 nt
Filed under: Lathyrus oleraceus (garden pea)
Lineage: Eukaryota; Viridiplantae; Streptophyta; Magnoliopsida; Fabales; Fabaceae
Description: Pisum sativum (pea) long non-coding RNA (PSAT_LNC033150)
Source: RNAcentral
CAACCCAAAUCCAAUAUAUUAAUAAAACAUAAUAACAUUUGAAUUCAAUUUACACAAUGUUGUGGAAAAUAUAAUAUCACCCCGGUGUGAAAUUUCUACCAGUAUUAAAACUUGAUAACCAGACCAAUAUUAACAUUAAAACAUUUUUCAUUCAAUAUAGAUUUCUAUAUAAAACUUGUUAUGUCAACCGACAUGCAUAUGUAACUAUAACCAAAUGCUGUAAAUUUAAUCAUGUUUGUUCAAAAUUAAGGAAUGCUAUGAACAUUAAUAUUUCAGUUUAAAAUACCUAAACUGCAUUCAUCUAGAAAAAACUUUUCAGCAACAAGAACAGAACUUCCAAAACAAACCAAAGCUAGCUAGUUGCAUCUUCAUCGAAAUACAUACUCUCCUCAACAAAAACAAUGUACAGAUUGAGGCGUGUAGCUGCAAAUGGAGAAAGAUCGGAAAACGACUGACGAGUGAAACAAACGAGAAGGCGAUGGAAGAUAAGACCGAAUUUUUUUUUGUGAUAAACCGAUUUGUUGGAGGUUCGCGAUGGAGGUUGGUGACGGACGGAGGUUGAAGGGAGUUGGAGUAAGGACGGCGAUGUGGUUCGCGUGGAGAAGCGUUGUCGGCGGCGGCGCGGUGAUGUAGGGGGUUCGGAACACGAUGCCGAAAGCGGAGGAGGCGAGCGAUGGUGGUUUUGUGGAGGUGGAAGCGGAGAGUUUGUGAUGUGAACGGAAAGGGGUUGUUGGUGGUUGGUUCGCCGGUGAUUUGUGGUGGUGAGAGUUGUUGGCCUUCUGGGAAAGAAGAAGGAUCCUUUCUUUUUCGUUUUCCUUUUUUAUUACAAUUUUUUAGCAGAGAGAGUAUGUGAGAGUGAGGUUUUCUUUUGUGAGUGGAGAGAGAGAAGAAGAUGGUAGGCGUGUGUAGGUGAGGUAACGUGUUAGAAGAAUCCCCAAAACGUGAGUGUGGUACUGAGGAUUUAAUGACACAUUGGAGAGAGAGUAAAAGGUGAAGAAAACGUGUGU